This 1003-nucleotide long non-coding RNA is filed under the name Mytilus galloprovincialis (Mediterranean mussel). The record is from RNAcentral. Lineage: Eukaryota; Metazoa; Mollusca; Bivalvia; Mytilida; Mytilidae.
AAACUUCUUUUUUCAUAUUUAUUAACAAAUUACGAAACUUGACAUAAAGAUAGAUAAAAUACAUUUAACUAUAUAAUAAAAACAUUAUUAAAAUAUUAAACUAACACAGCAUACUAACAAGCUAUUACAAAGAUAUGCGUUAUCAUUUCAAAUAUGUGGAAAAGGCUAUGACCAUUACCCUUGUUUUUGUCUCAUUAUUUCAAAAAUCAGAAAUUGGAUACACCAACUUGACCUUAAUAUCAAAAGGUGUUGAAAUUAUAUGCUUAAAAGCUUUCCACCAAAUUUAGAAAUAUCGUGAAAACAAAAAUGUAAUUCAGCAGUACACGUUGAUGUUGAAGAUAAUAAUGCUGAUUCAAUUAUGCAAAGAUAAUGAGUAUUUAUAACCUUAAGCAUGUUAUGGACAUCAAUCCAAUAAAAUUACAGUAAUUCAAACAUGCAUAGAUUGGUAGGUUUUUUCCGCGUCAAAUAAGAAUAUUAUUUCGUGAUUCAUCCUUUAAGGUAUUUAUAAUUGUGUCCCAUGUCCAGAGAUAGAAGUUGUAAUUCAAACUGGUAAGAAUGUGCAAUAAAUGCUAUGAUUCAUGCAAUUUCAGAAAAGAAGGAAAAUUGAAUUUUAAAAUGGGCUUUGGUGAAAAUAUUUAUGAAACUUUGACCUUACCGUCUAAUAGAUAUAUAUAAUACAAUUUGAUAAAAUGGGUUUCAAGUUAACGAUUUGCAUUAGAACCCCGAAAAUGCAGCAAAUGGGUUUUGGGGUAAAAUCAAUGAAAUUGAGAUUCACAAAGAUAUUAGAAAUAACAGCAUAUAAGGGCGUUGACAAAUAAGUCACAAUGAUAUGAACAGCAUAUACAGGUAUGCACAAGUAAGCAUAAGGUACAUAGAGAAUAAUACAUGGCAAUAUCCGUAUCAUAUGCCGUAUCAUCCCGAGAUACCAAUAUCAGCACGAGGGCCUUUAGGCCCGAGGGAUGAUAUUGGUUGAGGGUGAUACGGCGUGUGAUACGGAUUUGCC